CUAAUAUGGUAUCAGAGAGUC
Molecule: non-coding RNA, 21 nt
Filed under: Arabidopsis thaliana (thale cress)
Lineage: Eukaryota; Viridiplantae; Streptophyta; Magnoliopsida; Brassicales; Brassicaceae
Source: RNAcentral